This 416-nucleotide ribosomal RNA is filed under the name uncultured prokaryote. RNAcentral describes it as "bacterial SSU rRNA". It matches the Rfam family "Bacterial small subunit ribosomal RNA", at positions 505 to 918 of the family's 1533-position model. The record is from RNAcentral.
GUGUCAGCAGCCGCGGUAAGACGGAGGAUGCAAGCGUUAUCCGGAAUUAUUGGGCGUAAAGCGUCCGCAGGUGGUGAAUCAAGUCUGCGGUCAAAGGCAGGAGCUCAACUCCUGUAAGGCCGUGGAAACUGAAGCACUAGAGGGUGGUAGGGGUAGAGGGAAUUCCCAGUGUAGCGGUGAAAUGCGUAGAGAUUGGGAGGAACACCGGUGGCGAAAGCGCUCUACUGGACCACACCUAACACUCAGAGGACGAAAGCUAGGGGAGCGAAAGGGAUUAGAUACCCCUGUAGUCCUAGCCGUAAACGAUGGAUACUAGGCGUUGAGAGUAUCGACCCUCUCAGUGCCGAAGCUAACGCGUUAAGUAUCCCGCCUGGGGAGUACGCACGCAAGUGUGGAACUUAAAGGAAUUGACGGGG